AUGUUUCACCAGACAACAUUGCCUACUAUGGAAGAGGCGAUUUCAGCAAUGGUCCAGGAGGAGGUUCGCCUGCGGGUGAUGGUGGGUAGCAGCAAUCCUGUUCGGUCAGUGUAUGUGGCUGACAAUAGAGAAUGCUACAAUUGUGGAAGGACAGGACAUCUGAGCUAUGAGUGUUAUGCUCCACCAUCUGGAGGACGCGGACGCGCGACCCGUGGUGGUGGCCGUGGAGGCCGGGGUGAGGGCCAUGGAGGACGAGGUGGUGAUCAUGGGGGUCGUGGUGGACGUGGCAGAGGUCGUGUCAGCACUAGAGCCUAUGCUGUUGCAGGGGAAACAUCACACAUCAUGCUUACGGGUGAGCAAGCAGCACAAUGGGAGAAAUGGCAGAAGAGCCAUACAUCAGAAAGUUCACAGGGAUCUGACACGAUACCUCAGGCGGAUCACUUUGGUAAUUAUGCCAACUAUGCCCAAGUGGGCAAAGGAGAAUAG
RNAcentral lists this ribosomal RNA (486 nucleotides) under Triticum aestivum (bread wheat). RNAcentral describes it as "partial small subunit ribosomal RNA". The record is from RNAcentral. Lineage: Eukaryota; Viridiplantae; Streptophyta; Magnoliopsida; Poales; Poaceae.